Non-coding RNA from Sus scrofa (pig), 882 nucleotides. Lineage: Eukaryota; Metazoa; Chordata; Mammalia; Artiodactyla; Suidae. The record is from RefSeq and is a predicted model, not a curated record.
ACGGCCUCCAAAGACCAUGAUCCAUCACAUCUGAGAAAUGACCCCCAGCUAGGUGUUUGUGUCAGAAACACCCACUGGUGGUGCAAUAGCUAGAUGGGACCGGUGACGUGGACUCUGAUACCACAACAUGUACUGAGGACACUCUGAGUCAACACAGUGAUGGGCUAACAAAGAUAAGGAUUCGUUGUUUGGGGUGCACCACCGCCUGGGCUCUCCUCCCUGAGCACAGGGUGUCCUGUGAUAACGCCGGGAGAACAUAGCGUGCCCACGCAGGAGCAGCUUUUGACCCAGCCAGGGCAAUCCCUCAACAGCGCAGUGCCCAGCAGGCCCAAGAGGAGAGCACCCCUCCACCCCCCUUUGUCCUGUUGCACUUUCCUCUCCCAAAUCAAAUCCAUGCGACACAUGAGAGAAUUCAGGGGCAAUGACCUCUCAGAUGACUUCUGACCUUCAGCUUUUGGCACAGGGGUGUGGCUAACAUGCCAGCCUGGCCCACACUGGUGCUGGCCAGCACUCCUUUGGAGACACUAAUCCAUGGGCAGAGGAGUCUGCUAUCUUCCGGUCACCUGAGGAGCAAGAGGGAGCCGGGGGAGCCUCAGGCCUGAAACUGUGCUGGGGUCUUGGGGUACCUUUGGGAGAUAUUGCUGUGGGCUGUACCAGAGCCCAGAAAACACCCUCUUCGGCCCUGGCAGGGGACUCUAAGUGCACUGUUCUCCUGUGUAUAAGCGCUUCAGUCGUGCCAAGUGGUAAAAACUGGAUCCGGGAGCAACUCUGAUCACAAGGUCUAAGUCAAAGGAAUGAAUCUCUAUGGAGAAAUUUCAAGUCUCAGUCACAGAUAAAGACAUCUGAUGAAAAGGCUUCUGAUGUCACACUCUGGGUUUAGUU